Arachis ipaensis is the source of this 3180-nucleotide non-coding RNA. Lineage: Eukaryota; Viridiplantae; Streptophyta; Magnoliopsida; Fabales; Fabaceae. The record is from RefSeq and is a predicted model, not a curated record.
GAAGUAAAAAUUACACUAAAGCAUUAUUUUUUAAUCUCUUUCGCGUUCUUUUCUUUACAGUUCACAACCACCGACAAAACCACUCCCAAGUUCCAUCGCAUCUCCUUCCUCUACACUUCAUCUUCUUCCUCGAUCUCAAUCGCAAUCUGAGCAUUCUCCAGAUUCGGAUUCUCCUCUCAAUUUUGAUCUGAAUCAUGCAUAGUAAUUUCUCGCCUCUGGUUCAUCCUCUCAUUGCCUGCACUGUCAUUGCGCCGUCUUCUUCUCGCCUGCGCCAUCAUAUUCUCCCUGCGUAGUCAUCUUCUCGCCGGUUCCAUCGUUUGCUCAUCCCUUAUCUUCUUGCUCCUUCAAUCCUCUUUAAUCUUUACUUGAUAAUUAAUCUGUAAUUAAUUUUGAUGUAUAAUUAUUAGUUAAUUUAGGUUUUUAAUUAGUUAUUUAGUAGUUAGGUUUUGAAUUUAGGUUUUAAUUAAGUUGUUUAUUUGAGUUUAGGUUUUAAUUAUUCUGUUCUUUGCUUUAGGGAUUGUUUGGGUGAGCUUUUAAAAAAAGAUCUUUUUUCGAGUUAUCUUUUUUUAAAAGAUUUUAUAGAGAAGUAAAAGUAAUUUUAUGUUUGGAUAUCUCAUGUAAAAAGGUAUUUUUAUCUAUUAAUUAUGUUUGGGUAUAACAAUAUAAAAGUACUUUUUUGUUCAUUUAUUACAUGAAAAAUAUCUUUUUUUAAGAAAAAAAAAAUCUUUUAAAAAAGAUGUAAAUUACAGCUUCUCAAAAAAGAUCUUUUUUUUUUAUUUUACUAGUGCUUUUACUUUUACUACUAGAAAUUUGCCAAACACAUUAAAAAAUAAAAAAGAUCUUUUUUCAUUGAAAGAAGAUCUUUUUUUUAAUAAAAUAAUGGCGCUCAAACAUGCACUUACAUUGAGCUGAAAUCCUGCACAUUACUAAUAUGAUUAUUGUCGUUUUAAUAUUUGGAUAAUGUGGUAGCAAUUAUGAGUUCAAUUAAGGAAUGUUCAUUUCUAUACUUGUUUCUGAAAUAUCUCCUUGUAAAUUUACGUGAUAUUUUCUGUGUAAUUAAUCAAAUUAAACUUAAUUAAACAUGCUCAAAAUAUAGAAUAUCUAAUGAAGAUAAAUAAUGCUUAUUACUAGAGUCUGAAGAUCAAUUUUCUUGAAGAUAAUAGCUGAGAAGUGGACAUGGAUUAUAGCCUUGCCACGCCACUUAGAAGAAGAAGACAUGGAGAUAGGUGGUGUGACUUUUCAGUACCAAGAACACAAACUAGAAAGGGAAAUGGAUCUUUUCUAUUUUUUUUGUCACUGGAGAGAAUAAAAUGUGAUCUCUCACCUUUAAUUCUACAAGUGAGACCAUAAAUAAAUGAAAGAGAGAGAACAAUGAAGAAUGAGAUUUUCUACUGAAUACCAUCCAAUUUUUUUUCCACUGGAGAGAAUCCACUCCCACUAGAAAGUGUAUCUAAGUAGUGAAAUUAAUGGGUGUUAAGACUACUAUAUCUAUAUUUAUUUAUGAUGCUUAGUUACAACUCAAGUGUCAUGAUUACAUCUCCAAAUGGUUGAAUUCCCAAGGACUAUAUAGCAAGGAAAAUCAGUUAGAAUCUUACAAACGCUAUUUAAUGUCAAUUUUCUUUUGCUUCUAAAGGAAUGCAGCUAGUGCUACCACUUCUUAGUUCUUACAAGAAUAAUAACUCAAGGGUUAUUGUUUAGCACUUCCCUUGGUCCUCUCAUGAAAAGUCCUUUUUCAAUAUGGUUUUUUCCUUUUCUUUUUCUAGAUUUAGUGUUAUGUUUCUAUUAUUUUUUCAAUUUAGUCUCAGUUCAUAAUUUAUGGAAAAUGUUUUAUUUGUUUUUUUUGUUAUAUUUUUUGCAGUUAGGGUGCAAAAAUUAUUUUUUUAUCUUUUAAAUUUUAAUUUUCAGAUUUCACAUAUUAUUUGCAUUAGAUAAUGUAAUUAACAAGUAUAGGCAUAAAUUAGUGAAGUGCUUGAAUAGGCUCCUUUGUAUUAGUGAUGAGCAUAAAUUGAUUCAAGCAUUUUAUAGGAGAAAAGUUACAUUAUUAUUUGCCUUUAUACUCAUCAUUUAUGGCACAGUUUAUUAUGUUUCACAUUAGUGUAUAGAUUAGCAUCUGAUGAACCAAGUAAAUAAUUGGUUGACAAUGACAUACAAUUUCUUGUACUGAAUGUUAUAUUUGUUAGCUUUGGGGGCAAAGGUAGCACCUAGUAUGCCGUUAAGGGAUCACACAGAAUUUUCACAGGAGCUUCUCCACGAGUUGAAACUCAUCUGUCAGCUGCAUCUGUGUGACUAUCAAAGACACAAGGAUGUCUUGAGCUGUUGGUCGCUUUGGAGCUGCAUCUAUUUUGAGUUCAAAAUGUCUUAAGAUUGAGGGUUCAUUUUUCUGAUGCGUGAUUUGCAGGAGUCAAGCAAGUACCAGUACCAUGAGCAACUUUGGGAUUCUCCUUUCAGCCAUGCCUUACCCAGCUGUCUCAAGCCAAGACAUUGUCUCUCCUAGCAGUGCAGAAAUCAUCAGACAUAUCUCCUCUAUUUUUUACUGGUGUGUUGGAGGCUAUGGUAGCUGCCUUGUUUAUGAAUAUUUAUAUUGUUGGAUUGAAUCAAUUGUCGGAUAUUGAAAUAGACAAGAUAAACAAGCCAUAUCUUCCAUUGGCAUCUGGUGAAUAUUCCGUUGGAACUGGUGUCACAAUUGUUGCAUCAUUUUCAUUUCUGGUUCAUGGCCAUUGUUUUGGGCUCUUUUCAUCAGUUUUGUGCUUGGAACUGCUUAUUCAAUUGAUAAAUUUGUUCUGCAGAAAUUGGUGGUAUUUCCUCUCAAACUUCAGAAUUUAUGGCUUUUGAACAAUUAUAUGGGAACUGUUUGGAUAAGAGGUGAAUGGUUGAAAAGUUGAAACUUUACUUGGGAUUUUGGACCACCUGCAGAGAUGAACUUGGUUGACUGGUUUAAGGGAAUGGUAAUAAGUUGUCGCAGUGAUGAGCUAGUCAAGCAGAUAAAUACAUUUUUCUAGGAUUAGUAUAAAGACUAAGUUUUUUAUGUAGAUAGUAUCACUUUUUCUUUUCUUUUUUAUAUGGAAUGUUUAUAGAGUUUAAGUGUUAUAAGUAUUUUUUUUCCAUUUUAUUUGCAUCACGAAGCAAAUUUGUACAAUGAUUAUUGAUUAAUGAAAGAGGCUAUAAAUUUUUUUUUGUGAA